CCUACGGGUGGCAGCAGUGAGGAAUAUUGGUCAAUGGGCGGGAGCCUGAACCAGCCAAGUCGCGUGAGGGAAGACGGUCCUAUGGAUUGUAAACCUCUUUUGGCGGGGAGCAAUGCCGGGCACGUGUGCCCGGAGGGAGAGUACCCGCAGAAUAAGCAUCGGCUAACUCCGUGCCAGCAGCCGCGGUAAUACGGAGGAUGCGAGCGUUAUCCGGAUUUAUUGGGUUUAAAGGGUGCGUAGGCGGAUUUUUAAGUCAGCGGUAAAAUGUUCGGGCUCAACCCGGGCCGGCCGUUGAAACUGGGGUUCUUGAGUGGGCGGGAAGUAUGCGGAAUGCGUGGUGUAGCGGUGAAAUGCAUAGAUAUCACGCAGAACACCGAUUGCGAAGGCAUCACACGGAUGCGCGAUUGACGCUGAUGCACGAAGGCGUGGGUAUCGAACAGGAUUAGAUACCCUAGUAGUC
This 460-nucleotide ribosomal RNA is filed under the name uncultured bacterium. RNAcentral's name for it is "partial 16S ribosomal RNA". It matches the Rfam family "Bacterial small subunit ribosomal RNA", at positions 338 to 795 of the family's 1533-position model. The record is from RNAcentral.